Molecule: unclassified non-coding RNA, 19 nt
Filed under: Mus musculus (house mouse)
Lineage: Eukaryota; Metazoa; Chordata; Mammalia; Rodentia; Muridae
Description: oocyte_clustered_small_RNA7213
Source: RNAcentral
AUCAGGGUCAGUGUCUAGG